CCCCUUUUAAAAGCACUCAGUGGGCCUUUGCUAGUGACCAGCUGAGCUGUCAAGAAGGGGCAGAGCAAAAACGUCACUUUUGGGUGAAGUGGCCAUGUGUGUUUGCUGCAGUCAGUGCUCUGACAAGA
Small nucleolar RNA from Psammomys obesus (fat sand rat), 128 nucleotides. Lineage: Eukaryota; Metazoa; Chordata; Mammalia; Rodentia; Muridae. The record is from RefSeq and is a predicted model, not a curated record.